RNAcentral lists this ribosomal RNA (497 nucleotides) under uncultured bacterium. RNAcentral describes it as "partial 16S ribosomal RNA". It matches the Rfam family "Bacterial small subunit ribosomal RNA", at positions 28 to 507 of the family's 1533-position model. The record is from RNAcentral.
GAUGAACGCUGGCGGCGUGCCUAAUACAUGCAAGUCGAGCGAACAGACGAGGAGCUUGCUCCUCUGACGUUAGCGGCGGACGGGUGAGUAACACGUGGAUAACCUACCUAUAAGACUGGGAUAACUUCGGGAAACCGGAGCUAAUACCGGAUAAUAUAUUGAACCGCAUGGUUCAAUAGUGAAAGACGGUUUUGCUGUCACUUAUAGAUGGAUCCGCGCCGCAUUAGCUAGUUGGUAAGGUAACGGCUUACCAAGGCAACGAUGCGUAGCCGACCUGAGAGGGUGAUCGGCCACACUGGAACUGAGCCACGGUCCAGACUCCUACGGGAGGCAGCAGUAGGGAAUCUUCCGCAAAGGGCGAAAGCUUGACGGAGCAACGCCGCGUGAGUGAUGAAGGUCUUCGGAUCGUAAAACUCUGUUAUUAGGGAAGAACAAAUGUGUAAGUAACUAUGCACGUCUUGACGGUACCUAAUCAGAAAGCCACGGCUAACUACGUG